This is a long non-coding RNA of Saccostrea cuccullata (small rock oyster), 434 nucleotides long. RefSeq lists it as uncharacterized. NCBI's taxonomy places the organism in Eukaryota, Metazoa, Mollusca, Bivalvia, Ostreida, Ostreidae. The transcript has 3 exons. The record is from RefSeq and is a predicted model, not a curated record.
UGUCAUCACCAAUAGACGAAUUUCACAUUCCUUAGAGUUUUCUCCAAUUGUCAAUAUAUCGCUCAUUUUUCCCACUUUGUCCUUUGUCCUGUUCUGUGGAUGCCCUAAGACAGUGUCUACCCAUCACUCCAUCUGAAAUCACUUGUUCUGUGCAUAUUUCUCUCUCAAACUUAAACUACAGAGAGCCUGUGGAUAGAGGAUGAAGAGUGACCUUGGACUAAUUUUCUAGGUCAAAGAUCAUAGGUGACGUGAAGAAAACCAGGAAACUGAUGUUGAAAGAAGUACUUAAUGACCCUUAUGAAUGGACUUAAAUGUGAAAGACUGUUCCAUUGUUUAUCUAAGAUAUAUGAAUUUAUUUAAUAUUUUGAUAUCAUUGAAAAAUUCAGUUACAGUUUUUGUACAUCAAAUGAAUUAUUAAACAUAUAAAAUGGUAA